Molecule: ribosomal RNA, 698 nt
Filed under: uncultured Mycobacterium sp.
Lineage: Bacteria; Bacillati; Actinomycetota; Actinomycetes; Mycobacteriales; Mycobacteriaceae
Description: bacterial SSU rRNA
Rfam family: Bacterial small subunit ribosomal RNA
Source: RNAcentral
GCACUUCGGGAUAAGCCUGGGAAACUGGGUCUAAUACCGGAUAAGACCAAAAGGCGCAUGCCUUGUGGUGGAAAGCUUUUGCGGUGUGGGAUGGGCCCGCGGCCUAUCAGCUUGUUGGUGGGGUGACGGCCUACCAAGGCGACGACGGGUAGCCGGCCUGAGAGGGUGUCCGGCCACACUGGGACUGAGAUACGGCCCAGACUCCUACGGGAGGCAGCAGUGGGGAAUAUUGCACAAUGGGCGCAAGCCUGAUGCAGCGACGCCGCGUGGGGGAUGACGGCCUUCGGGUUGUAAACCUCUUUCACCAUCGAGGAAGGUCCGGGAUUUCUCGGAUUGACGGUAGGUGGAGAAGAAGCACCGGCCAACUACGUGCCAGCAGCCGCGGUAAUACGUAGGGUGCGAGUGUUGUCCGGAAUUACUGGGCGUAAAGAGCUCGUAGGUGGUUUGUCGCGUUGUUCGUGAAAUCUCACGGCUUAACUGUGAGCGUGCGGGCGAUACGGGCAGACUGGAGUACUGCAGGGGAGACUGGAAUUCCUGGUGUAGCGGUGGAAUGCGCAGAUAUCAGGAGGAACACCGGUGGCGAAGGCGGGUCUCUGGGCAGUAACUGACGCUGAGGAGCGAAAGCGUGGGGAGCGAACAGGAUUAGAUACCCUGGUAGUCCACGCUGUAAACGGUGGGUACUAGGUGUGGGUUUCCUU